RNAcentral lists this long non-coding RNA (311 nucleotides) under Pongo abelii (Sumatran orangutan). Its description in RNAcentral is "lncRNA (ENSPPYG00000035982.1)". The record is from RNAcentral. Lineage: Eukaryota; Metazoa; Chordata; Mammalia; Primates; Hominidae.
GCGACAGCUAUUCAAAGCUUUUGGGGGUCUACCUUUAUAUUCGUUGCUCCCUCAGAGGUGGAGAAAAAUCUCAAGGAAAAGUACUGCAAGCAAGAGGAGUAACUGUUGGAUGGGGGUCUAAAACGAAUGAGUGGAGAGAUUCAACACUGGGAUUACAGGAUCUCACUCUAACUUGGAAUCAAUUCUUACGGAUAAAAAGAUCAAACUCGGAAUCCAAAAUCUACAAGACUAUUCCGAGAAACAUGAGCUGUACAGCUGUAGAUUACAGCAAUAAAAACAGAAUAAUGGGUAACAAUUACUGAGCACAUACU